UAAUACGUAGGGUGCGAGCGUUAAUCGGAAUUACUGGGCGUAAAGCGUGCGCAGGCGGUUUUGUAAGCCAGAUGUGAAAUCCCCGGGCUUAACCUGGGAACUGCAUUUGGGACUGCAAGGCUGGAGUACGGCAGAGGGAGGUGGAAUUCCACGUGUAGCAGUGAAAUGCGUAGAGAUGUGGAGGAACACCGAUGGCGAAGGCAGCCUCCUGGGCUAGUACUGACGCUCAUGCACGAAAGCGUGGGGAGCAAACAGGAUUAGAUACCCUGGUAGUCCACGCCCUAAACGAUGACAACUAGUUGUUGGGGAUUUAACAUCCUUAGUAACGCAGCUAACGCGUGAAGUUGUCCGCCUGGGGAGUACGGUCGCAAGAUUA
RNAcentral lists this ribosomal RNA (376 nucleotides) under uncultured bacterium. RNAcentral's name for it is "bacterial SSU rRNA". It matches the Rfam family "Bacterial small subunit ribosomal RNA", at positions 521 to 896 of the family's 1533-position model. The record is from RNAcentral.